This 494-nucleotide ribosomal RNA is filed under the name uncultured bacterium. Its description in RNAcentral is "partial 16S ribosomal RNA". It matches the Rfam family "Bacterial small subunit ribosomal RNA", at positions 28 to 507 of the family's 1533-position model. The record is from RNAcentral.
GACGAACGCUGGCGGCGUGCUUAACACAUGCAAGUCGAACGGAAAGGCCUGCUUUCCCUUGUGGAUUGCGGGUACUCGAGUGGCGAACGGGUGAGUAACACGUGAGUGAUCUGCCCCCAACUUGGGUAUAAGCCUGGGAAACUGGGUCUAAUUCCCGAUAGGACUGCAGGGUGGUGCCUGUGGUGGAAAACGAUUUUCUAGUGGUUGGGGAUGAGCUCGCGGCCUAUCAGCUUGUUGGUGGGGUAAUGGCCUACCAAGGCGGCGACGGGUAGCCGGCCUGAGAGGGUGGACGGCCACAUUGGGACUGAGAUACGGCCCAGACUCCUACGGGAGGCAGCAGUGGGGAAUAUUGCAAAAUGGGCGGAAGCCUGAUGCAGCGACGCCGCGUGGGGGAUGACGGCCUUCGGGUUGUAAACUCCUUUCGACCGCGAGGAAGCCACCUGGUUGGAAGGGUGGUGACGGUAGUGGUAGAAGAAGCACCGGCUAACUACGUG